UAGCGCUUUCAAAGAGCGUAAUGGCCUGAUUCAUGGUAUUGAUCACACAGCUGGCUCAGGAGCUGAUUGGAGGUUGGGAGGGACCCCGAGUGAGCUCUUUCUACAUCUCUUCAGUACACAAUUCAUUUGGACAGUGUGCCAGGAUCUCUCAACACUGGGUCCAAGGGUUAACCCAUGCCGAUCAACACAUAUUCCGUUAGGUUGGCAGCUCUAAACGUACUGUCUUGAACCUUUGAUGGGGAAUUAAUAUGUAUCAUGUUUCAGGUUGAGGAUGUAAUGGAUCUCGUCCUCCUCUUCUGAGGAGGAGUAGCGAGAAGGAUCGGAAGACCAAUUUGCAGCGUGGUUGUGUCCAGUCCGGGGGAUGCAUUCACAUGUCUGUGAGGAAGGACGUCAACGUUGCACAGCAGCUGUAACCUGGUUCCAUCUAAG
Oncorhynchus masou masou (cherry salmon) is the source of this 429-nucleotide long non-coding RNA. RefSeq lists it as uncharacterized. Lineage: Eukaryota; Metazoa; Chordata; Actinopteri; Salmoniformes; Salmonidae. The transcript is spliced from 3 exons. The record is from RefSeq and is a predicted model, not a curated record.